RNAcentral lists this long non-coding RNA (1737 nucleotides) under Homo sapiens (human). RNAcentral describes it as "HSALNT0002649". Lineage: Eukaryota; Metazoa; Chordata; Mammalia; Primates; Hominidae. The record is from RNAcentral.
GGAACUUGUGUAUGUGGAAGGGGUUAGAAGGCCUAGAAGAGAGAGGUUGAUGCUUUCAUUCUGGAGGAAAAUACUGAGGCCGAGCCUCCAUGGGUGCCUUGGAGACUCCAAGCCUUGAAUCCAGUGUGGGGAUAUGCAAGCUAUGUCUAGCGAGGGACACAUCCUCUGACCUCAGGAACCUCCCAGGUAGUUGGGAGGAACCUGGUUCCAACCUCCCAAGAACUCUCAGUCUGAUGAGGUACAGGGGAGGUCUCAUUAGUGUAUCAUGGGGUUCUCCACAGGUCUGAGGGCCUGAUGUGUGUGAAACCAUUCUGCAGAGCUGGGAACGGGUCAGGAGGUGGUUGUGUGUGUGUGUGUGUGUGUGUGUGUGCAUUGCUGGAGGGCACUCCUUGUGUGCUCUGAGUGUGACAGAGGAAGUCACCCUGGACUUAGGUUGGAUGGGAGAGCAUGUCUGUGUGUCUCAGAGCCACCAAGGAGGAGCAGGGGAGCGACGGCCGGGGCAGAAGUUGAGACCACCCAGCAGAGGAGCUAGGCCAGUCCAUCUGCAUUUGUCACCCAAGAACUCUUACCAUGAAGACCCUCCUACUGUUGGCAGUGAUCAUGAUCUUUGGUAAGAGCUGACCCUGACCUCUGAGCAUGGGGGGACAGCCCCAGAAGGGAAGCACUCUUGUCCCUUAGUUUUCUCUCCCAUUGCAGUGAUCCUCUCUCAGGGGGAAAAAAGAAGCCAUUUGGGAGGAAGGAGAGUAGCAGAGAGGGGCAGAGAGGGAGGGCGCAGAACCCCAUGCCCCAUCACCAGACAACUCCCAAAUUUCCUUCCAGGCCUACUGCAGGCCCAUGGGAAUUUGGUGAAUUUCCACAGAAUGAUCAAGUUGACGACAGGAAAGGAAGCCGCACUCAGUUAUGGCUUCUACGGCUGCCACUGUGGCGUGGGUGGCAGAGGAUCCCCCAAGGAUGCAACGGAUCGGUGAGGCCACCUAUCCCUCCCUACCCUCCUAGACUCUGGCCCAGGCAGGGCUGGGAGCUGCAAAGACAGUGCCGGUUCCUGAUGGGCGCAGAGGUCUCAGGAUGGCCUGGCUGGAAAAGCAGCCGGCAUGUUGGAACUUCUGCUCUAGACUGUUGCAAAGUCACUGGGUCUCUGCCCAGGGUCCAAGGGGGUGAGACCACAGGCACCAGGCCUCCUGGAGCUGUGGGACAAGAGCCCCAACAGGGUGUCUCCUCACAGCUGCUGUGUCACUCAUGACUGUUGCUACAAACGUCUGGAGAAACGUGGAUGUGGCACCAAAUUUCUGAGCUACAAGUUUAGCAACUCGGGGAGCAGAAUCACCUGUGCAAAACAGGACUCCUGCAGAAGUCAACUGUGUGAGUGUGAUAAGGCUGCUGCCACCUGUUUUGCUAGAAACAAGACGACCUACAAUAAAAAGUACCAGUACUAUUCCAAUAAACACUGCAGAGGGAGCACCCCUCGUUGCUGAGUCCCCUCUUCCCUGGAAACCUUCCACCCAGUGCUGAAUUUCCCUCUCUCAUACCCUCCCUCCCUACCCUAACCAAGUUCCUUGGCCAUGCAGAAAGCAUCCCUCACCCAUCCUAGAGGCCAGGCAGGAGCCCUUCUAUACCCACCCAGAAUGAGACAUCCAGCAGAUUUCCAGCCUUCUACUGCUCUCCUCCACCUCAACUCCGUGCUUAACCAAAGAAGCUGUACUCCGGGGGGUCUCUUCUGAAUAAAGCAAUUAGCAAAUC